RNAcentral lists this ribosomal RNA (432 nucleotides) under actinobacterium BAL211. Its description in RNAcentral is "bacterial SSU rRNA". It matches the Rfam family "Bacterial small subunit ribosomal RNA", at positions 40 to 484 of the family's 1533-position model. Lineage: Bacteria; Bacillati; Actinomycetota; Actinomycetes. The record is from RNAcentral.
CGGCGUGCUUAACACAUGCAAGUCGAACGGUGAAGCAGAGCUUGCUCUGUGGAUCAGUGGCGAACGGGUGAGUAACACGUGAGUAACCUGCCCUUGACUCUGGGAUAAGCGUUGGAAACGACGUCUAAUACCGGAUACGAGCCUCAGCCGCAUGGCUAGGGGUUGGAAAGAUUUUUUGGUCAAGGAUGGACUCGCGGCCUAUCAGCUUGUUGGUGAGGUAAUGGCUCACCAAGGCGACGACGGGUAGCCGGCCUGAGAGGGUGACCGGCCACACUGGGACUGAGACACGGCCCAGACUCCUACGGGAGGCAGCAGUGGGGAAUAUUGCACAAUGGGCGCAAGCCUGAUGCAGCAACGCCGCGUGAGGGAUGACGGCCUUCGGGUUGUAAACCUCUUUUAGUAGGGAAGAAGCGAAAGUGACGGUACCUGCAG